CCCUUAGAUGUCCUGGGCUGCACGCGCGCUACACUGAUGCGCUCAACGAGUUUACGAUCUUGCCUGAAAUGGCUGGGUAAUCUUUUUAAAACGCAUCGUGAUGGGGAUAGAUGAUUGCAAUUCUUCAUCUUCAACGAGGAAUGCCUAGUAAACGCAAGUCAUCAGCUUGCAUUGAUUACGUCCCUGCCCUUUGUACACACCGCCCGUCGCUCCUACCGAUUGAAUGAUCCGAUGAAUACCAUGGAUUGAGAGUACGAAUGGGUUCGCUCAUUUCUGCUGCUCGAGAAGUGGAGUAAAUCUUAUCAUUUAGAGGAAGGAGAAGUCGUAACA
Molecule: ribosomal RNA, 330 nt
Filed under: uncultured eukaryote
Lineage: Eukaryota
Description: partial 18S ribosomal RNA
Rfam family: Eukaryotic small subunit ribosomal RNA
Source: RNAcentral